RNAcentral lists this long non-coding RNA (878 nucleotides) under Malus domestica (apple). Its description in RNAcentral is "long non-coding RNA (MDOM_LNC014408)". The record is from RNAcentral. Lineage: Eukaryota; Viridiplantae; Streptophyta; Magnoliopsida; Rosales; Rosaceae.
GUGUUGGAGGCGAAAAAUGGAGCGGUCAGGACGCAGACUUCGCGAAUGUGUACGGCGAAGCUGAGGAAUCGGAGGGCCCAGUAGAUGAUGGCAGCGGUGACCAUGAGGCCAGGGUAGAGGGUGCCGCCGAUGAUCCGACCCAAGGGGUACCAACUCUCGGAGUCGAACCAGUUCCAGAAUUCGUAGAAGCCCUUCUCGGUAAGGUAGAGGGUAGUACGGUAAUUGAAAUAGGGAUCGAACUCGUGGAUCAUGGACUCGUAGCGGAGGACGCUGAAGAGGCGGGUGAUGAAGGCGAGGACGUAGACCAAGCAGAGGAUGGAGACUCGGAUCAGGAGCUCCUGCUGCUUGGUCUUCAGUUUUAGGGUUUUGAACGAGAAGUUGCCGAGGAGACCUGACAUGGAUGUGGCUAGGGGCGGAGAUUGGCCGGUUUUCGUGGUGGCUGUGGCGUUGAGGGGCUCCGUUUUUCCGACCAUGAUGUUGGUGUUUCGUUUGAGAAAGAAACGAACUGGAGCGAACUGAAUUUCAGGGGUUUGCACUUUUCAGUUGCGUUUCACUUGUACACUUAAAAGUGGUAGGAGUGACAUUUUAGGGAUGACACAAGCACGAAAGACAAGGAUCAAGGAUCAGGAAGGGGAUCUGCUCCUGCGAUUACAAGUGCGAUCACAGGGACGACACAAGCACGACAGACAAGGAUCAAGGAUCAGGAAGGGGAUCUGCUCCUGCGAUUACGAGUGCCAUCACUCGCCGCGACGCAACUUGUUUAGGAGAAUCUCCCGCAGGUCAAACAUUAACAGUGUUGGACUUGGAUAUUUUGGGCUCUUGCUUUAUUUGGGCUGGCUGGGCCCUCGAAUUGGGAUUUCCUUUUUACUAUGAUGUCU